Molecule: ribosomal RNA, 498 nt
Filed under: uncultured Dorea sp.
Lineage: Bacteria; Bacillati; Bacillota; Clostridia; Lachnospirales; Lachnospiraceae
Description: partial 16S ribosomal RNA
Source: RNAcentral
CACGUAGUUAGCCGGGGCUUCUUAGUCAGGUACCGUCAUUUUCUUCCCUGCUGAUAGAAGUUUACAUACCGAAAUACUUCAUCCUUCACGCGGCGUCGCUGCAUCAGGCUUUCGCCCAUUGUGCAAUAUUCCCCACUGCUGCCUCCCGUAGGAGUUUGGGCCGUGUCUCAGUCCCAAUGUGGCCGGUCACCCUCUCAGGUCGGCUACUGAUCGUCGCCUUGGUAGGCCGUUACCCCACAACCAGCUAAUCAGACGCGGGUCCAUCUCAUACCACCGGAGUUUUUACCACCGGGCCAUGCGGCUCUGUGGUCUUAUGCGGUAUUAGCAGUCAUUUCUAACUGUUAUCCCCCUGUAUGAGGCAGGUUACCCACGCGUUACUCACCCGUCCGCCGCUCAGUCACUAAAGUCUUCAUCCGAAGAGUCUAACCAAAGUGCUUCGCUCGACUUGCAUGUGUUAAGCACGCCGCCAGCGUUCAUCCUGAGCCAGGAUCAAACUCU